GUAACGCGUGAGGAACCUGCCUCAAANAGGGGGGCAACAGUUGGAACGACUGCUAAUACCGCAUAAGCCCACGGGUCGGCAUCGACCAGAGGGAAAAGGAGCAAUCCGCUUUGAGAUGGCCUCGCGUCCGAUUAGCUAGUUGGUGAGGUAAUGGCCCACCAAGGCGACGAUCGGUAGCCGGACUGAGAGGUUGAACGGCCACCAUUGGGACUGAGACACGGCCCAGACUCCUACGGGAGGCAGCAUG
Molecule: ribosomal RNA, 247 nt
Filed under: uncultured bacterium
Lineage: Bacteria
Description: partial 16S ribosomal RNA
Rfam family: Bacterial small subunit ribosomal RNA
Source: RNAcentral